AGUGAACGCUGGCGGUAGGCCUAAUACAUGCAAGUCGAACGACAGGACAGUAAGAGUGUGCCCUUACGGGUGGCGAGGGGCGGGCGGGUGAGGAGUACAUAGCAAUCUUAUAUUACGGGGGGGACAACGUAAGGAAAGAGAUGAUAAUACAGCAUACGACCUACGGGUGGGAGCAGUGGAGAUUGGGGCCUUGGGCGACUGAAUGAGACGAUGCCGGAUUAGCUAGUUGGCGGGGUAAGGGCCCACCAAGGCGACGAUCCGUAGCGGGUCUGAGAGGAUGAUCAGCCACACUGGAACUGAGACACGGUCCAGACUCCUACGGGAGGCAGCAGUAGGGAAUCUUCGGCAAUGGGCGAAAGCUUGACCCAGCAAUACCGCGUGAGUGAUGAAGGUCUUCGGGUUGUAAAGCCCUUUUAUUAGGGAAGAACAACUGCGGGAGUAUACCCCCCCGUCCUGACGGUACCUAAACAGUAAGCAACGGCUAACUUCGUG
Molecule: ribosomal RNA, 492 nt
Filed under: uncultured bacterium
Lineage: Bacteria
Description: partial 16S ribosomal RNA
Rfam family: Bacterial small subunit ribosomal RNA
Source: RNAcentral